This 21-nucleotide non-coding RNA is filed under the name Arabidopsis thaliana (thale cress). The record is from RNAcentral. Lineage: Eukaryota; Viridiplantae; Streptophyta; Magnoliopsida; Brassicales; Brassicaceae.
CACUAAUUCCAGGGAUUCGUG